CGUCGCUCGACCCGCGUGGAAGCUCCGGAAUCGCAUCGGGAGUCGUCGCAUCAGUCUCCGCGUGGCCGUGCCGUCUCUUCGUCGCAGUCGGGAUCGAGGCUCACCGCUGCGAAGCUCAACCGCGACCAAGCUUCGUCCACGGCGUCAUGGCUCAGGUCACCGGACCGUCUCCGUCGUGCUCUGCUCCGUCUGUGCCGUCCUCGCAACCAAACAGGCUUGCCGUCGUCAGCACCCAAAACCGGCGAGAAGAAGGAUCGAGCAACAAUCGAUCUCUCCAAUGGUGUAUUUUGAAGCAUUUGCAGAACAGGUCCCUCAAUUAUUGAAUAAUUACUAAUUGACCCAAAACUUUUGAAAUAACACUUAUGUCCUCAUGAAUCAGCCCCAGACCUCUUAAUUGUGCAACUUAGACCCUCGAAUUUGCAGAAUGAUCCCCUGACUCUUGAUGGUUCUCAAACUGGCCACAAACUCUGUAAUUUGCAAGUAUAACCUUGCGAUUUUGCCCCAAACUUCUCAAGUGUGCAAUCCAACCCCUAAUGCAUACAAAUGAACAAAUAUAUGCAAUGUAGACACCUAAAUGCAAUUCAAAACACAAGUAUGAUUAAUAAAUAGAUGCUAAAAACUAUGAAAAUCAUGAGAUAUCAACUCCCCCAUACUAGUCCUUUACUUGUCCUCAAGUAAACAUUCAAAAUCAAUCAAAGAGGAAGGAAUUGAAAAUUGAAACACAUAACCCAAAGAGUCACUUUCUAACCUUCAACCUAACAUCCUAAGAGAAACAUAGCAAAUAGCAUGAGUAACUCUCUUAGUACACUCUAGUUUCUCAAGGCCUAUCAAAACUCUUAUGCCUCAACACAAGUCAUUUACUCAUCAAUCAACAAGUUCUUUAGCCAGCCCUCACAUUCAUUUAAACACACACACACAAGGUGAAUUCUUGCAAAUAGGCACAUGAUCUCAAUCAUUUGGCUAGGUAAGCAAUGGUCUAAUAUGAAUGAAGAGAUGGGUUCAAAAGUUUUCAUUUAAAAGUGGUUAUCACUCAAAAUAAGGAGCAUGAUCAUUAUGCAAAAUUUAUCUAAGAUUAAAAGCAACUCAUGCAUACAUAGAUUCAUUCUCAUCAUUCUACCCUUUUCCUAAGUGAUUACAAGUUCUACCCUUUUAUCAUCAUCUCAAAACCACAAUAAAACCCACUCACAUCACUCACCCAAUGAACAACUCUCUUUUUCUUUUGACUCAACCAACUAGGGACUUUAAUUCAUUUUCUUUACAACACUUAGCUCUAACUCUUUCUCAUUUCUUUCCCCACCUUCUCUUUGAUUCU
This 1312-nucleotide long non-coding RNA is filed under the name Brassica napus (rape). Its description in RNAcentral is "long non-coding RNA (BNAP_LNC003536)". Lineage: Eukaryota; Viridiplantae; Streptophyta; Magnoliopsida; Brassicales; Brassicaceae. The record is from RNAcentral.